UUGACAGCGUGAGGACCACCACUGCCCUGGCUCUACAGCAGGCCAUCCACAUGGAGACUGACCCCCAGACCAUCAGCGCCUACCUGAUCUACCUGUCCCAGCAUACACCCGUGGAGGAGCAGGGCCCACACAGUGACCUGGCCCUGGACGUGGCCCGGUUG
Long non-coding RNA from Peromyscus leucopus (white-footed mouse), 161 nucleotides. RefSeq lists it as uncharacterized. NCBI's taxonomy places the organism in Eukaryota, Metazoa, Chordata, Mammalia, Rodentia, Cricetidae. The record is from RefSeq and is a predicted model, not a curated record. The transcript is spliced from 3 exons.